RNA transcript from Haemorhous mexicanus (house finch), 8497 nucleotides. RefSeq lists it as uncharacterized. The record is from RefSeq and is a predicted model, not a curated record. NCBI's taxonomy places the organism in Eukaryota, Metazoa, Chordata, Aves, Passeriformes, Fringillidae. The transcript is spliced from 3 exons.
GAUUAGGGAAGCUUAAGUCCAUGAAUGAAAAGUAAAGUUGAUGUUUUGCUGUCAGAGGAGCUUUGGGGUGUUGCCAGACAAGAGAUUUUCCUCAGCAGCAAUGAGAUGGAGCCUCCACUGAAAAGUGAAGCAUCAGGACUUAAAAACAAGUCUGUGACAUGGAGGGCAGCAAACUACAUGUGAGACUCAGUGGUCUCCAGCAUGAAAUGGAUGAACAGGUAACUGUGCUGCAAGUAAUUCACCACUCACCUCAAAUCCCCCCCAUGAUGAAAAGCAAUUGAAUUUAGGAAAAAACAGGCUGGCAGAACCUUUCAAUGAACUGCCCGAGGACAGGGAAGACCAGCCUCUCCAGGCUGAAAACUUGUGGCAAGGCUGGUGGCAACCAAGAGAUGUGAGUGGCCAGCAUCUGAGGCCAUCUGCCCUACCAGUCAACACUUUCAGAACAAUUUGGAGCACAGGGUGCUAAGGUGUGUUGAUUAUGCAAAAUGACCAAAAACAUUCAGCCCUGAAUGAGCCUGUGGAAAGAUGCAGAAGGAUCUUGUGACUGAGUGACUGGGUUAUUAAAAUGCUGGAUGAAAUUCAAGGUUGCUAAGUGAGAAAUACUACAUGCAGGCCUCAAAGCCCUCUUUUGACAUUGCCCAAACCUCCAACAAACAAGUGAGCAACUUUUGUUGACCUUGGUCUGAGUCCUGCAACAGAAAGGGAAAAUUAAAAAAAAAAGGUGGUUUGUAAUCUCUGCAAUCUCCAGUUUUUUAGCUGCCAAGUUGGAUACUGGUUUAGGUGCUGGACACCAAGUACCAAAUCUCACAUGGCCUCCAGCUUCCCCAUCUCCUCAGAAUCCUUGUACGCCUUUAUCAGCCUGACUAAACUGCCAUCUAGACCAACAGCAUGAAGUGACUUUAGGCACGGUACAAAAAUGCUCACUUGUCUUUUUUUUUUUUUUUUUUGGAGCAAAGUAACUAAACUUUUCACUUUCAAAACAUUUUUUUCCAGCCUGGAAUCAUGGUUGGAAGUCUUUGAUCCAUCUAUUCCAAUUUCUGAUGCAAAGCAGGACAAAGGACACAAAUGUCACAUGUGGAUAAAAGAUGUUUAAAGACAUCUUCAGUGUGUGGCUGAGAACUUGCAUAUGAUUGCACGUGAGCCCUGCUCCCUAGGAGCAGGAAAAGGUCUUUCCAACCCUUCUGGUCUCCCAGGCAAGGUCAGUCACUAUUUCUUGCUCUUGGAUGUAUCUAUGCAUGGCUAUAUAUGUCUGGCAACAGAACAUCUCUUUUGACCCAAUUCAGAAAUACUCUGUGAUGCUUCUUAGCACUUUUGACCAAGACAUUUAGCCCUUUUGAGAGUUUGUAUCAUUUCUAUGUAUCAAAAAUGGUACCAGUUUUGUCUGUCAAUUCCCUGUCCUUCUAUAAAUAUUACUUAAACUGUAGUUUUUUUCCAUUCCUUCAUGAUUCCUCGCCUCCUCCCCCCUCCACUGGUUUCUCAUUGGCUCUUGUCCAUGCCCUGUCAGACUAAGCACUGACGUCAUUUGCUUGCCCAUCCACCCAGGCUUUUCUUUAAAUGUCUUCCCCCAUGCUUUUAAAAACUGACCUCAGCAAACCGUGGAUUUCAGCAGCCAGUGCUUUUUUCUCAGUGUGGAGGUUAGUGUGCUUUGCAAAGCAGCGUUUGCAGGAAGGCAGCGACUGCGCCGUGCUUCACUUUCAGCAUUGCUCACUCCAACUCCCCAGGCAGCCUCGGGCUUUGUGGAGGGGUUUGCUCAUCCCUACAGCACCCCAAGCACCCCACAGGCUACUGUGCUCCAGGUCAUCUGUGCCUGGAACUGGAGCAGUGCUCAGCUGGAGAUCCUGUCAAGGAUCCUCCUUAUUGCUAACUGCCUGGAAAGUGCUUCAUCAUUCCCUUCUGAGCACAUUCUGCAUUUUCCAUAUACAGAGCAGACUCAUCUGGUGAGUGCUUCUCUUUUUUUUGCCUUGUUUUGAUUAUUUUCCCGAUUUCAGCCAAUAAAAAGAAAAUAUUACUGUUAGGAUUGAUUUUUCUUUAAAUGUAACUAGAACAGCAUGUUAGUUCCUUAAGCAUUCAAGUAUUGUUAUUUUUCUCUGAGGUGAUAUGAGCAGCUGAAGACCUUUAAACAGACAGCUAAAUUAUUCUGUUGUCCCUCUCUUCCUUUUCUCCUGACCAUAGUUGCUGUAGUUGUUACAAGGAUUAUUUUUUGUUAAUGUAGGUCAAGCUUUAUUAUUAUUUCUAUUAGUUAUUCCUAUUUCUAAGUAUUUUUGUCACAUGGCCACUUACUCAAGGAAGUUCACUCACUGAAAGUUAUCUUAUGUUGCUAAAUCACAGCCUUUUGAAAAACUGGGAAAAUACUGCUCUUUCCACAAUCUGCAAGUUCACUUAUUUCACUCUAAGGAAAAGUUACAGGACAACACACAGCUCUCAGCUGUGACAUUUUGUUCUGGCUGAUGCCUCAAUUUGUUUCUCGGUUGAUCCCUUGUCCUUAGGCAACCAUCAAUCUUUACCCAAUUUUCAUCUGUCAUAAGGACAUCUAAAAUCAUUGCCAUACUUGGGCAUUCCAUCACUUGUAAAUUGAUGAGAAAUUCCCCCUGGCACAGCAUAUUCUUUGGUAUCCCAAGUCAAAGUUUCCUAUUGACAACACAAUUUUUCUUGUCAAGCAAAGCAGGGAGGUACUUACAAAAUAAAUCAACAUGUUUUUUGGGGAGGGUUCAGGAGUAUUUAUAGAAGACCCUUCACUGCCUUGAUGAAAUUGUGCGUCAGAGCAUGUUUGGCUAUCAGCUGUAGAGUGAAUAUCACUUUUAACAUCGCUUGUAAACCAAAUUCAUAAUGGCUCUUGCCUAUUCCUUUAUCCAACAGGUUAGACUGGUCUAGCAGUUCUACCAUAUGGCUGUGACCCUUAAAAAUAUCAGUUAACCACAUUUCUUCCUACCCUGAUGAUUUCUAUUUCCUCUUGCACUUUGCCCAGAUGCAGUCUGCUCUCGAAGCUGGAAAUGCUGCCUCUUCCCAUCUGUUGUGACAUUUGUCCAGCUUGAUCAUGAUGGCUUUACCAUCACUCCUAGCAUAAUCACCAUGUGCAGCAGAUUGCCAGAUGUUUUCAGGAGCCUGUCCCUGCAUUGUCCAGCUGUAUUUCCAAUGAGACAGUACCUCCACCGUGUUCUGCAUUAAUUCUGACCUCUCCUCUUGAAAGGAGGUUUCUUCCCUGUAGCCAGAGUACUAGACCUACUUGGUCAUCACCUGUGAGUUCUGGAGCACCCUGUGUCACAGGUACCCAAGACACAGCAACCAUAAAUGAAUGAAGAGUAUGGCCAGAGGUAAAAGGCUUAGAAAACUGUCAAGCUUCCAGAUCAAUUGAGACACAAAAACACCUUUCUAUGCAGCUUUGUCCUCUCCUAACUCUUGACUAAGAAACAUGAUAAAUAAAAUAAUACAACAGGUUAGCUGGAAUCCAAAGGUGUUCUGCUGAAGGCUGUCAGCAUUGCAUUUAGGUCCUUCCAAGGAAUCCUGAUAUGGGGAAAGCUAACUCACACCACCGCGGGUCAUGUGGGAUGAGUGACAAAUGCCUCCAGCAGAAGGGUGCUGGGUGGAAAAUACAGGGCCUUGACUGACUGGACAGACAAGUCAGACUCUCUCAGUGAUAUGAUCUAAAAGAGAUGGGAUCCAGGAAUCAGCGAAGGGAGGGUGCAGGUUCACUUAACACAAGGAAGAAGAUGUGGGCUGCUUAGUAGUUAGGUUUCCUGAACCCACUGAAGCAAGUAAAGCACCAUCCCACCCUCAUGUGGUCAGGUGCAAGGAAAGUGAUGCUCCCCGCCCUCCUCUCUGUGGGAAUAUCUGCUAGUUUCCAUGAAGAAAUUCAGUGGGCCUGGUCAGAAUCCCAGGAUGGUUGGAAGGGACUACCAGUGGAGUAAUCUGGUCUCAACCCCUGUCAUCAAGCAGGGCUGUCCCAGACGACAUGGGACAGGAUUGCCCCCAGACAGUUCUGGAAUAUCUGCAGUGAGGGAGACUCCACAACCUCUCUGGGCACUCAGCUCCAGUGCCCAGACACCUGCCCAGUAAAGUUCUUCCUUUGUUCACAUGGAACUUCCUGUGUUCCAGUUUCUGCCUGUUGUCUCAUGUCUUCUUGGCACCACCAAGAUCAGGAGUCUGGCUCCUUCCUCUGACACCCAGCCUGCAGAUACUUAUAGACAUUGAUGAGGUCUCCUCUCAGACACUCUCACCAAGCCUGAACAGGCCCAGCUCCCUCAGCCUUUCCUCAUGAGGCACUUCCUCACCUAACAAUCUUCAUUCCCUUUUGCUAGACCUGCUCCAGGAGCUCCAUGUCUCUCUUGGAUGGAGGAGCCCAGAACGGGACACAGCACUGCAGAUUUGCCUCACCAGGGCUGAGUGGAGCCACACCUCCCUUGCCCUGUGGGCAAUGCUCUUCCUAAUGCAUCCCAGGACACCACUGGCUUUGUGACUACCAGGACGCACUGCUGGCACAUGGAGAGCUUCUUGUCCACCAGGACCCCCAGGUCCUUCUCUGAAGAGCUGCUUCCCAGCUGGUCUGCCCCGAGCCUGUGCUGGUACAUGGGGAUAUUUUUCCACACAUGUAGGGCCCUGCAUUUGCCUUUGCUGAAUUUCAGAAGUCUCUUCUCUGCCCAUCUCUCCAAGCUGUCCCUCUGAAGGGGUGCACAACACUCUGGGGUAUUGGGCACUCCUCCCAGGUUGGUGUUAUCAAUGAACAUGAUGAGAAAGCAUCACCCUUCAUCCAAGUCAUUGAUGAGUAAGUUAAACAAGAAUGGGCCUGGUACUGAACUUUGUGGGACACCACUAGUGACAGGCCUUCAGCUAGACCCUUUGCCACUGACUAUGACCCUCAAGAUCUGCUGUUCAGCCAGCUCCCAAUCCACCUCGCUGUCCACUCAUCCAGUCCACACUUCCUAAGUUUGUCUAUGAGAAUCUUGUGAGAGACAGUGCCGAAAGCCUUGCACAAGUUGAGGCAGACAAUAUCCCCUGCUCUGCCCUCACCCAUCCAGGCAGCUGUCUCGUGGUAGAAGGCAAUCAUGUUGGUCAAGCAUAAUUUGCCUUUAGUGAAGUCAAGCCGACUCUCCUGCUCGCCUUCUUGUAUUCCACGUGCUUACAGAAAACCUCCAGAAUGAGGUGCUCCAUCGCCUUGUUGGGAUUGAGGUGAGGCUGACUGGCUGACUGGUUUCCUGGGUCCUCCUUCUUGGCCUCUUUGAAGAGUGGGGUGAAAUUUGCUUUCUUCCAGGCCUCAGGCCCCUCUCCUGAUGUCAGACCCUUCAAAGAUGACCACUACGGUGUUCAGCAGCUCCUCAGCACUGUGGAUGCAUCCCUACAAGGGCCAUGGAUUUGUGGCUAUCCCAUUUCCCCAGGUGAUCUCUAACCCAAUUCUCCCAGCCCAAGGGAGAAUCUUCCUUCCAACAUUCCUGAGGGGUAAUAAGCUGAUGAACCAGUCUGCCUAAAUAUUCAGUGGGAAGACCUUAUUGCCCAGUCCAGAGAUAUGACCCUAAAAGGAUGGUCUUGGACAAAGGUUCCAGAGGUGAGCACUCAGCAGCCACAGUCCCGAGCUGACUGCUGGCAGAGGGACUGCCCAGAUGCAUCCUGCCAUGGAACCCCAUUCCGUCUGUGCUUGGACUGUUCUUGGGCAUUAAACAGUCACAUUAAUGCACGAACACUGAGCCAGACAGGACUUGAUACUGCUUCCUGAGCAGGCACUGCCGAGAGGUGUCCUGGAAAAGAGGUGACGUUAGGGACUCAAGAAGCAACACAGCACUGCGUAGUUCCUGGACAUCACAGUUCCCAGCAGGGAGCAUGGUAGAGAAAAGCAGGCUUGAUACUCCUCAAAGAAGGAAAAGGAGCCCAGAGAAGAACUCAGUAGAUGGAGGGACCACAUCUCAUUUCAGCAUCAAAGAUGUGGGCUCACCACAGCUAGACAGGUGUGUGUCUGCAGGAAUCUCUGGGAGCUGGGAUGGUGCUCCAGAGGACACCAAUAAAGAGCAUGAAGCAGAGCUGGGGGAGAUGCUGGAGGGGCCUGCCCAGAGCAGGACCUUGACAAGGGACAAAGAGCGAGACAGAAAAGCAGCAACAUCCAGAAAGAGAAAAGAAACAGAGACAGAGAAGAGAGACAGAGAGAAGAUGACGGAGAGGGGAAGGGAAAGGAGAGAGAUGGAGUUAGAGACAGACACUCAAGCAACUUGUCUCCCUCCUGCAGCUGCUCCCCUAGCACUGUGGGGUCCCCGGGCCCAACACAACAGGUCAGCAAAAGGAUGAGGGGACUCUUGAUGUCCAAAGCAACAUCUGGAGCAUUCCACCUCCACUCUGUGCCCUUUUGCCUGGUCCUCCCGAGAGAGACAGAAAGCAAGGCACCAGAAGGAGCAAGGGCGAGGGUGACCAAGCACCUCCCCUAGCAGGGGGCUGGUGUUGUCUCUUCUACCUCCUCCUUUGGGAUCUCUCCUCCCCAGAGCUGGUGGCUGAGUUGGGAGCAGCAGCGGGCGCUUCUCACCUGAAACAUCUUGAUCAUGUCCUCGCAGUUCCGCUGCUGUGCCACAUCACACAGCUUGGCAGUGAUGUCGAUGCGACGGCAGAUGUCCAUGUCCACCUUCAUGGCCUUCUCCUGGAUCUUGGUGUCCAGCUCCGUGAUGUUCUGAACCCACGGCACCGCAGGAAGGGGACAAGGGAGGAAUAUUAGGCAAGACAGAUGGCAAUCAGUACCCCCAUGUUCCCCCUCAUCCCUGCUUUGCUCUCUGUGCCCCAGACCAACCCUGCCAGGGCUGGAUGGAACUGUUUUUCUACACGGCCACACCACGUGGGUAGGACACUGCUGAGGGGUUGGAGAGGGAUUAGGGACUCACAUUGCUCAUCAGUCCCUUGAAGACGACAAGCUCUGCCUUGAGCUGCUCCACCUUCAUGGCCAGCUCCUCCUGGCAAGCUUCAGCCUCCUGGGCUUCCUGAGCCAGGGAGAGAGAGAUGUGCAAAUCAGCACCAGUGGUGGGGCAGCUGGGGUGCAGGGGCAGGGCGAACAGCAAAGCUCACCUCCUGCAGCUCAGUCACCCGGUCCUGAAGCUGGACACGCACCGUGUACUCCUCUUCCCAUCUAGGGAGACAAACGCCGGUCAGAUCCCAUCGGCCUCGCCUCGCUGGCUGCCAAAGGGAGAGGACGGAGCGGCAGCUGCUCACCCCACAGCUAUCCAAGAGGGGGGGAUGGCAGCACCAGGCCGGGAAGGAGCCCAGGAAUGCAUGGCCUCUUGUUUUCGGGCCAUGGCAGCUGCCGAGCCCAUCAGGCCCCCGGCCACAAACGCUGCCCCACCCACCACGGCCGCCCGCCCUGUGCCGGGGGGAGCUGGGGACACCGACCGCAGGCUCGGCAGGGCAGCUGGGCUGCACGCCCUGCUGCAGCGGGGCUGGCCCACGGCCCCUCAGCCCUGGGUCACAGCAGCUCCAGCCCCCACAACAGCUCUGCAGAUGUACUGCGGAGUUGCCCCCAUCUGCAUCACUUCUGCGACCACGUUUGUGUGUCUGCGGCGCUGCAGUUCAGGCUGUCCAGAAGCACAAACCCUGAUCCUGACACCGAACCACCUCACAACGUCAGUGACCACGACGUGCACCAAGGGCUGCUCCUCUGCCUGUCCCAGAGCAGGAUGUGCCCAGGCUGCCCUGAGCCAGCCACGCUGCCUGGGCAGGGGCACAAGACUCCUUCGCUCUACUGCUGCGUAACAGGUUGGAUUAAAGAACACCGUGUCAUCCCACGAGGGAGCAGGAUGGAUUGUGCCACUUUAUGCCGGGCUGUCCGGUGGGUAUUGGGCUCUGCAGCUUUGCAAAAAGCGGAGCUGCAAGGUGCCCAGCCUUGCUGUGCAAAGACACAUCCCCUAGCAAUUAUUAUAUUACAUUUCACUGCAUGAGCUCAACCUCUUGGGUCUCACUGCAGCGUUGGCCCAGCCCCCGGUCUGUUGGGAGGCCAUCAAGCCGUCCUGCCCUUGGCUAAAGGAUGAUCCCAUAGAGCAAGGGGUUGGCAUGCGCUUCGGUGCGGCAUAGGGCAGGGCUGCUGCAUUCUUACCCAGCUCCUGGCUCUUCUGGGAGAGCCAGAUUUUUCUGAGAUAGCAAGAUCACUCUGGGAUAGCAACCAGAGCUGGGCUCUUCCUGGUGCUGUGAGGUCUGGUUUCUAUUUAAUGCCUGCAAGCACCAACACAGACACUCAGACUCUGCACAAGGAUGUGAAAAAUCUCUCCUCUCACUUACCCACACCAAGUUUGAACAAUAAAUCCUAAGGUCUAGAAGGCCAGAAAGCAUAUGAAAAGCCCUCACAUUUGUUAUCUCGGGGUAUCUGGACAAUCUGACGACGUGGGAGAGCCCUGGCUUGUGAAUUUCUGAGCUCUUAAAGCUAGCAAUGCUGCUCCUUACUCAAACAAGGACAAAAGUGUGCACUCCUCGUGUUGGUGUUGGAUCCAUACCACAGCUUCAGAAGGGAAAUCAAAGGGUGUUUCCAUCCCUUUGGGGAAAGAGA